UCUGGUAUGAGCUGGGAAAAGCAUGACUGUACCAAUAGGUGUUACAUCUGGAGUUCUGGUAUUGAUAAAAUUAAGAAAGAUUAGCCAUUGCAGUAGUUUGGUGACCUGGUCCUACAAGAUGUCACCUGUGGAAAAAAGCCCGACAAUAAUGAAUUUGUCCUCUUUUCGCCAAAUAAGAAUUAUUCUGCCGAAAGGUAUCAAUUGAUGUUCGAAAGAAACAUAAAAACUUACAAUGAUGAGCGAAACUUAGUUACUCAAAAAUGGGAAAACAUGGCGAAACAAAAGGAAAUUAGGAGGGAAAAAAAUAUCUUGGAGGGUGGCUUAAAUCACACCAACCAAGUAAUUAAAGAAUAGCUCUUCCUUUACUCUUCUCAUGGAAAGGAACAAGCAUUGUCCUUUCCUUCAUACCGUACUACUGCAUGAUGCAUGAUAUCCUACAACUUUAAGAAGAAACAAAGACAAAGAAUCAAAUGCAGUGUCAUGAUAAAACAAGCACAAAUUAGACUUAGGUGCAGAAAGGGGUAACUGAGAUUGUGAGAACAAAUUUAACUACUGAGAUAUAGUAAGAUUGUUAUAUCCACGACUUCCCUAAGGAUCUGUAACUUGUGGAAUUGGUUUCGCGAAAUCAUUUCAAUGCUCACAUUGCAAACAAUCCACUUGCAUGUAGUUUAAUAGGUUCAUAACAUAUCCAACAAGGAUGGCAGCAACUCUAACUAUUAUAGAAGUUCAAUUUAUUUCAAAAAUAUCUUUGACAGAUGGAAGGACUGUUUUCAUGAUGUAAAACCAGUGCUUUCCAAGCGCAUUAGAUAGCUCAGGUCAUGUUAUUACAUUUAAAGAUAUUAUUAUUGAAGCCAGGGCUCAAGUACCAAUACUAGUCAUUCUAGUACCUUACCAUACUCUAGAAUCAUACCAGUCUGUUAUGGCAUAUACUAGCAUGCUACAAUGCCAUCGCGAUGCAUGGUACACCUAAGGAUGAUGACACAAUUGAAGUGCAUACAAUGUGUUGAUACAAUAUCAUCCCAAAAGGAGUACCAGUACUCGUGUAUGGUAGCAAGGAGUUCUAUCAAUUAGAGCAAAUUGUAUUUUCUAUCAGAAAGUCCCAUAAAUAAUAAGUGCUACAUAUUCUACGAACCAUAGAUGGUUAAUCAACCAUUACUAGCAAAUACACUGUUAACAAACCUCAAAGAUGAGCUAAACAAUCAACCAGCUCCUCUCUACAUGUACACAGUAUUUUUAGAAUUGAAAAAGAAAUUAAGAAUGAUAACCACGAAUUCGACCACACUGAAUUAAUACCUGCUCAAUUUAACUGCACGAAAUUAAUACUGCCACUCGAAUGUUUGAGAAUGACUCAUUUUUUGAUAGCUGCACAACCAUAAAUCUACACACGCAUGAACCAACGUUCAUGAUUCUCGAACCUUGACAUUCAAUAAUAAAUGCAUCAUCAAGAAAUGUCUAUAAAAAUCAAUUGAGGGUUUGAAAGCACAACCAAGGACCAGAGGCCUUGGCACCAGCCAUUAUACCUAGAAGCUGGAUGCCCAAAUGUCAUUCAUACUUGGGCACCAACACACCUAGAGCACACCAAAGAGGGUUCAAUCAAGGUUCUCAAAGCUAUCAUCAUCAUCAUUAUCAAGCUGUUGUUCCAUGCCAACCAUACCUAAAGAACCCAUCCCACCAUUGAACGGGUCUUAAGAGCUCAGCAUGCCAUUUUGGAGCUUUGAGAUGUACAUAGUGUUGGUCAUUUAACUCAAAGCCACAGACCAAGCUUCAAUGGCAGAAUCAACCUUGUGCCCCUUUUACACAGCAAAGAAGGUCUUCUAGAGGAAGAGCAGAGAGAAAGAGAAGGAAAGAAAGGAGACCAACAGCUAGACGAGGUAAACAGGUUGCUUAAAGAAUUUCCUCCCUGGAUGGCAUAAACCUCUACAUUUUAUAUAUCCCUUCCACAUAAGGUUUUUAUCUCAAAAACUUAGUUUGCAUUAAUAUUGCGCAAUCAACAAUAUGAUAUACCUACAAAUAUUAGCCCAUGUUUUCUCAAUCUAUAUUAUUUGUGAUGUUGUGAUAUAUUGGGAUGAACAUGUCACUCAAGAUUUCUAAAUUAAUUAUUAGGUAUUUCUAUCUAAUAUUUUGAGAACUUCCUAGGUCUAUCUCUCUUCUACAAGGAUCUCUUCCUUGAUCAUUUAAUUAAGAAGUUUUUGAUUUUUUUUUUUUUAAGAAUCUCAAACAAGAUAAAUAGAUAUCUUGAUUCAUCUCAAUAGGCAAUCCACCAAGAUAAUCAUCAAAUUCCACAUCUUCUCAAUGUUCUUGUGAUCAUCACCUCACACUUUUCUUGUGGUCUUUCUUCUAGAGAUUUAGGUAUUGGAGAUUCAACUUCUAUGCAACAACUACAUUAAUUUUCAUAAAUUUGUAUAGUUGUCUCUAUUCAAUAAUUCUUCUACAGAGGAAGUGACGCUCAAUUCCCCUAAAGUUAAUGAGCAGAGCAAAGAGCAGUGAUUUACAAUUCAGGAUCUUUUCCCAACUCUUAGGCACAUAACCAACCCCCCGCCUCUUCCAAAAAAAAAAAAGAAAGAAAAGAAAAGAAAAAAAGAGGGUUUUGAACUAAAAGCGGAUGGUAAAUCUAUUUGUGGAUUUAAGAGGAUGGUAGAUAACUAUCCACAAAAAAAAUUAAAAAACAAACAAAAAAAAAAAUCUUGUUGCCCUAAUGAUGUCUUGUUUACUAAUUUAUACAAUAACAAUAUAUGAGAGGCCUGACAAAAUCUGCUAAGUUAUUAUAAUAUCACUUCGACAAUAUGAACACGUGAUUACCUUAGAAAGGUUUAACUUUCGUUAGUUGUUGUACUUGUCAUGAUGGUACACGUACAUUAACAUAAGAAGUAGUUCAUAUCCUUGCAAGCAAAUGAGCUGCAGAACUGAUCGAAGAAUUUUUGUUUGGAUUGGUCAAGCAAUUUAAAUUAUAAAAUCAAAUCAGAAAAUAUUACUAAGUAACUUGAAUAAAUUAAAAUAAAGCAACUAUUAGAUCAAAUACUUGUCAAUGAAAUAUUAAAAUCUUUUAGAUUAAUUAUAUAGAUAUUUAGUUUUUAAACAGUUAUUCAUAUUGGCUGCCUCAAACUGAAUAAUUCUAUUACCACCACUGAGGACCAUAAAAUCCAACAUCAAACACCUUGCUUUCACUUCGUUCUGGUUUCAAGGUCUUAGAUCAUAUUGGUGAAGCAGUUGUACCAAUUAAUAUUCUAUGCAUCUUUUAUAUGAAAGUUCUACAGGCCAACAAUUUCACAAACUCCAUGAAGCAUAAACAAUUGGGUCAACUCUUAAAAAAUCUUUAGAAAGAUUUGCUAAACCAUCACCACCUCCUUUCCACAAUAUAAACACCAUAUCUACAAUUUCACAAGCAUAUUAAAUAUCAGCAUCCAGGAGAUUCUACCAUAUCCAAUUUAACCGCGCAUCAUUAUCACCACCACCACUGGAAUGUUCGAGAAUGACUCACUUUUGGUAGCUGCAACGCGUGACCAUCUCAAUCCUUCGUAUUGAAUGCAUGCAAGGACGCGUCGAUGUCUCGAACCAUCCACCAUCGAAUGCAUCAUUCAAGAAAUUGCCUAUAAAAGCAAGCCAGGGACUCGGAAGCUCACCGCAAGAACCGAAAGCCUCGAUUCGAGCCCGAAACCUACCCCGAUGCCAUUCUCGUCCGGGCACCGGCACGCCCGGAGCCCGCCGGAGAGGGUGCGACCGAGGCCUUGCGCGCCGUCGACGUCCAGUACCACCCAUACCUUAAGAUACCACCAUGACAGAGCAUCCUCAGCCUAGCCUUUCUCGUCGGGGAAACGGGAUGGAGGUGGUGAAGAGGGGGAAGGAGAGGGGAAAAGGCAGGUGGAAGCAGGAGAGGGCAGCCGUGCGUGGCGGAGGAGAAGGUAGGAGAGAACCGAAGAACAGAAGCUGGUUGGGAGGGCAAAAACCUGCGGAAUCCAUAGAGACGAGGGAACCGGACGAAAGAUUCAUCUUUUUGUAUCUUUUAUUUAUUUUAUUUUAUGUUAUGUUUUUUCUAUCAUUCGGAAAAGGCAAUUGAACAAUAGAAGCAGAAUUAAUAUAAAAUAUUUGUUGCCGAUACCUUGCCGGUCUUAUAAAAUAUUUGACGCUGCUGCAAGUAUUUGAAUCCUUCCAGUGUUGUUACAAGGAUGUCUGAGAUCAGUCUUCUUAUGCUUUCCUUGACAAAUAAAGGUUAAGGAUAUGGGUCCUU
Molecule: long non-coding RNA, 4225 nt
Filed under: Elaeis guineensis (African oil palm)
Lineage: Eukaryota; Viridiplantae; Streptophyta; Magnoliopsida; Arecales; Arecaceae
Description: long non-coding RNA (EGUI_LNC022354)
Source: RNAcentral